GUCAAGAAGUGGGACCAAAGUGAGCUCACCUUGAUGGAUCGGUGACCUCUGGAAUCACAUGAAGUUCCCACAUUGAGCCCCUUUGAGCUCUCCAGUCCUACAGCUCACCUUUUCUGUCAUGGUGAAUCUCCUCUCAGGUUCUUGAACUCCCUCAUUUUGCCAUUAUACAAUUCAGUGAGUCCUAGCUGAAAUGUAAAAUCACCUGAGAAACUAACCACUAAAUUUGAGGCUUUAAAAAAAAAAGCUGGACUGUGCUGCUGCCAUCUCGGCUCACUGCAACCUCCCUGCCUGAUUCUCCUGACUCAGCCUGCCGAGUGCCUGCGAUUGCAGGCGCGCGCUGCCACGCCUGACUGGCUUUCGUAUUUUUUUGGUGGAGACGGGGUUUCGCUGUGUUGGCCGGGCUGGUCUCCAGCUCCUAACCGCGAGUGAUCGGCCAGCCUCGGCCUCCCGAGGUGCCGGGAUUGCAGACGGAGUCUCGUUCACUCGGUGCUCAAUGGUGCCCAGGCUGGAGUGCAGUGGCGUGAUCUCGGCUCACUACAACCUCCACCUCCCAGCCGCCUGCCUUGGCCCCCCAAAGUGCCGAGAUUACAGCCUCUGCCCGGACGCCACCCCGUCUGGGAAGUGAGGAGCGUCUCUGCCUGGCCGCCCAUCGUCUGGGAUGUGAGGAGCCCCUUUGCCUGGCUGCCCAGUCUGGAAAGUGAGGAGCGUCUCUGCCCGGCUGCCAUCCCACCUAGGAAGUGAGGAGCACCUCCUCCCGGCGGCCAUCCCAUCUAGGAAGUGAGGAGUGUCUCUGCCCGGCCGCCCAUUGUCUGAGAUGUGGGGAGCGCCUCUGCCCGGCCGCCCCGUCUGGGAUGUGAGGAGCACCUCUGCCCCGCCGCCCCGUCUGGGAGAAUUGAAUCCAAGAGGAAGAGAAGCAUCCUUCCUUCAGUGCCUUUGUGGUGGUGCUUGGUGAGAGAUAGUGGUGAAGGCAUUGCCUAAAGAGAGAGGCACUAACAGGCAGAGGAGUGGUUGAGACCAGUAAGAACUGCCCUGCCUGGUGGAGCAGAGGCAGAAGCUGAUGCCCAGGCUCUGCAGCAUCUAUAGGGAACUUGGUGCCUGCAGUGCUCAUCAAAUGAUCCAGAGGCCUCCUUGAACACUGCAAAACCCAGAAGAAAUUACCAUGCCAACGGAGCAGAACCAGAUCCUUUGGGGAAACACAGCGCUGGUGGAAGAACUAUAGCUCCAGUAAGCAAAUGUGGUGCCUGGUGGGUGGUUGCUGAAUCAGUGUGUGUUUGUGAGCAUAUGUGAGACACCCACUGAAGAUGCCUAAAAACACCUCUAGAAACUGACAUUUUAAAAGGAGACUGAAGUCCUGCAUUAUGCAGGUGCUGUGAGCCUGUGACUAUUGGGUUAUUCCACUUAAUGUGACUUAUUUGUAUCUACAAGCUAGUGGAAGCUGGGUGCCAUAGUUCAGAUAUUUUUUCCCCCAAAACCUCAUGUUGAAAUUUGAUCCCCAGUGUUGGAGAUGGGGCCUAAUGGAAAAUAUCUGAGUCAUGGAGGUGGAAGCUUUAUGAAUGGAUUAACCUCCUCACUGUGGGGGUGGUGAGUUCUUACUCUCUUAGUUCCCAUGAAAGCUGGUUGUUAAAAAGAGCCUUGCAGGGCGCGGUGGCUCAUGCCUGUAAUCCCAGCACUUUGGGAGGCUGAGGUGGGCGGAUCACCUGAGGUCAGGAGUUCAAGACCAGCCUGGCCAAUAUGGUGAAACCCUGUCUCUACUAAAAAUACAAAAAUUAGCCAGGUGUGGUGGUACAUGCCUGUACUCCCAGCUACUUGGGAGGCUGAGGCAGGAGAAUCACUUGAACCUGGGAGGUGGAGGUUGCAGUGAGCUGAGAUUGCGCCAGUGCACUCCAGCCUGGGUGACAGAGAGAGAUUCCAUCUCAAAAAAAAAAAAAAAAAAAAAGCCUGGCACUUCCUCUCUCUGUCUCUUUCAUUCCUCUCUCACUGUGUCUCUGCACAUACCAGCUUCUCUUUGCCUUCUGCCAUGAGUGAAAGCAGCCUGAGGCCCUCACCAGAUGCCCAAUUUUGAACGUUCCAGCCAGCAAA
Long non-coding RNA from Gorilla gorilla gorilla (western lowland gorilla), 2079 nucleotides. RefSeq lists it as uncharacterized. The record is from RefSeq and is a predicted model, not a curated record. NCBI's taxonomy places the organism in Eukaryota, Metazoa, Chordata, Mammalia, Primates, Hominidae. The transcript has 4 exons.